Molecule: non-coding RNA, 72 nt
Organism: Ornithorhynchus anatinus (platypus)
Lineage: Eukaryota; Metazoa; Chordata; Mammalia; Monotremata; Ornithorhynchidae
Source: Rfam
AGCAGUGUGGCUCAGUGGAAAGAGCAUGGGCUUGGGAGUCACAGGUCAUGGGUUCUAAUCCCAGCUCCGCCA